RNAcentral lists this long non-coding RNA (1210 nucleotides) under Nicotiana tabacum (common tobacco). RNAcentral describes it as "long non-coding RNA (NTAB_LNC012034)". Lineage: Eukaryota; Viridiplantae; Streptophyta; Magnoliopsida; Solanales; Solanaceae. The record is from RNAcentral.
ACAAGAAACAAAAAAUAUUGCAUUCUGUCUAUUAAAAUGAACUUGAAAAUAGCUUUUUAAUUUUUUUAGAAAUGCUCUUAGAUCUUUAAAAGUUAUGUAUUCUUGCUAAAACUGAAAAGCUGAAUAUAUAGAAUUUGAAUAUACAUCAAUUUCAAAAAUUUAAAGUUUAUAUUUUAUACCCGAAUAUAACUUUUAGUAAGUAUACUUACAUAUUGAGAUUAGGUGCACACGCAAAGCACAUAACAUGAAUUUUACCAAAUAAUAAAGUCUCCUAACCAAAAAGAAAAUUGUGUGUGUGAUUUAAGGCAAAAUAAUUUAACCAAAAAGAUCUCCUAAACCUAAAAGAUAUUAACUACAAAAUAAACGCAUUCAAUAAUCCAACAUAGGGGCGAAUAUUUAGGCUAGGCAGAAUUUUUAACUACAAAAAAGGUCUCCAAAACCUUAAAGCUAUAAACUACUCCAACAUACGUAGGGAGUAGAACGAAUAGGAAAAACAUUAGGCAAAAUUUUAUUACCUUUCCUAGACGGUUAAUAAUAGGAGAAUAAUUAAAUAGCUAUUCCAAAAUUAUAGGAGAAUUAAUUAAAGGAUUAUUUCAAAAUAUUAAUGAAAUACUUAAAUUACUAUUUUGUCUAAUGUGAACUCUAUAUUUUAAAGGGUAAAAAAGGCGAACGAUAUUUCUCUAAGGACCUUCGUGCUUUUAAUAUAGUAUAGACAUAGACUAGUAUAGUAUUAGGAUACGCGCGUUGCGCGUGUACCCCAUUUCAAAGAGUAAUAUUUUACUAAAAAUUAAUUUGACUUAUUGUGACGACCGGCCAGUCGUGUCAUGAGNNNNNNNNNNNNNNNNNNNNNNNNNUCUGCUUCUUUAUGCUUCGUUAUCCGUGUUUUAUGGUAUCAGGUUGGUCGGAUUGAGUCCGGAAUGAUUUUGGUAAGGUUUGAGACACUUAGUCUCUUUUAAGGAAGUUUGAGUUGGAAAAGUCUAAACCUAAAAGAUAUUAACUACAAAAUAAACGCAUUCAAUAAUCCAACAUAGGGGCGAAUAUUUAGGCUAGGCAGAAUUUUUAACUACAAAAAAGGUCUCCAAAACCUUAAAGCUAUAAACUACUCCAACAUACGUAGGGAGUAGAACGAAUAGGAAAAUAUUUAGGCAAAAUUUUAUUACCUUUCCUAGACGGUUAAUAAUAGGAGAAUAAUUAAAUAGCUAUUCCAAAA